Molecule: ribosomal RNA, 487 nt
Filed under: uncultured bacterium
Lineage: Bacteria
Description: bacterial SSU rRNA
Rfam family: Bacterial small subunit ribosomal RNA
Source: RNAcentral
AUUGAACGCUGGCGGCAUGCCUUACACAUGCAAGUCGAACGGCAGCACGGGAGCAAUCCUGGUGGCGAGUGGCGAACGGGUGAGUAAUAUAUCGGAACGUGCCCAGUCGUGGGGGAUAACGCAGCGAAAGCUGUGCUAAUACCGCAUACGAUCUAUGGAUGAAAGCGGGGGAUCGCAAGACCUCGCGCGAUUGGAGCGGCCGAUAUCAGAUUAGGUAGUUGGUGGGGUAAAGGCCCACCAAGCCAACGAUCUGUAGCUGGUCUGAGAGGACGACCAGCCACACUGGAACUGAGACACGGUCCAGACUCCUACGGGAGGCAGCAGUGGGGGAUUUUGGACAAUGGGCGAAAGCCUGAUCCAGCGACGCCGCGUGGAGGACGAAGCCCUUCGGGGUGUAAACUCCUUUUCUCAGGGAAAAGGAUGAUGGUACCUGAGGAAUAAGCCCCGGCUAACUACGUGCCAGCAGCCGCGGUAACGGAGUAGUACA